GAUGAACGCUGGCGGCGUGCUUAACACAUGCAAGUCGAACGAUGAAGCCCAGCUUGCUGAGUGGAUUAGUGGCGAACGGGUGAGUAACACGUGAGUAACCUGCCCUUAACUCUGGGAUAAGCCUGGGAAACUGGGUCUAAUACCGGAUAGGAGCGUCCACCGCAUGGUGGGUGUUGGAAAGAUUUAUCGGUUUUGGAUGGACUCGCGGCCUAUCAGCUUGUUGGUGAGGUAAUGGCUCACCAAGGCGACGACGGGUAGCCGGCCUGAGAGGGUGACCGGCCACACUGGGACUGAGACACGGCCCAGACUCCUACGGGAGGCAGCAGUGGGGAAUAUUGCACAAUGGGCGCAAGCCUGAUGCAGCGACGCCGCGUGAGGGAUGACGGCCUUCGGGUUGUAAACCUCUUUCAGUAGGGAAGAAGCGAAAGUGACGGUACCUGCAGAAGAAGCACCGGCUAACUACGUG
RNAcentral lists this ribosomal RNA (466 nucleotides) under uncultured bacterium. RNAcentral describes it as "partial 16S ribosomal RNA". It matches the Rfam family "Bacterial small subunit ribosomal RNA", at positions 28 to 507 of the family's 1533-position model. The record is from RNAcentral.